RNAcentral lists this transfer RNA (84 nucleotides) under Roseibacillus sp. RNAcentral describes it as "tRNA-Leu". It matches the Rfam family "tRNA". From Rfam's summary of the family: Transfer RNA (tRNA) molecules are approximately 80 nucleotides in length. Lineage: Bacteria; Pseudomonadati; Verrucomicrobiota; Verrucomicrobiia; Verrucomicrobiales; Verrucomicrobiaceae. The record is from RNAcentral.
GCCGCCGUGGCGGAAUUGGUAGACGCUGCGGACUUAAAAUCCGCUUCCCGCAAGGGAGUGGGGGUUCGAGUCCCUCCGGCGGCA